RNAcentral lists this long non-coding RNA (781 nucleotides) under Lepisosteus oculatus (spotted gar). Its description in RNAcentral is "lncRNA (ENSLOCG00000023280.1)". The record is from RNAcentral. Lineage: Eukaryota; Metazoa; Chordata; Actinopteri; Semionotiformes; Lepisosteidae.
AGAAAUUCAGUUGUAGAAAAUGUCUUGUACUCUGAUCAAAAUUGAGCACACUGGGAAGCUAGUAAACUUUGACAGUACUGUUCAAGACAGAAACAAGCAGCUCAUCAGUGGAAAAGCAGUAUGUAAACCUGGGGAAGCUGAACAAAUAUUUUUGUUUUCAUAAUUCCAAAUUCUUUAUUCAACAAAGACUGAUUAGUAUAGAUUUAAAAUGUGUCCCGAUUUAAGUGAAAAUGAGAAUUGGUUUGUAAAGAUGGUGACUGCAGCUUUGCAAAUUUACUUUUGCUAUGUGGAGAAGGUUUAGAUUUGCUUUCCUCAAAAGGUUUCGUGGUACAUGGAUUAUGACUGUGAUGGUAGUCAUACCCACUUUUGUGUAAACACUUUCAUUCUAUAUACAGUAUGCACAACGCUACAGUCUGAUAAAUUUGCAUGGGUUUAAGUUUGAACUUAAAGGCCACUUUGAAAUCAUAACCUCUUUAUACGAAACAAUCACAGUUUUGUUUGUAGUAAAAUGUCAUAGAUUUUCUUUUAUUCUAAGGCUUGUUCAUGUUAACAGCUAUGGUUUGUCAUGUGUUUUUCUCUUUGUGCUUCAGCAGUAGGACAGACUGUAGGAAAGGGAUGGAUGGAAGAACGUGGUCAGUAUUUGAAUGGAACAUGGCGCUGAAGAGUGGACCCGUGUUGCGUGUGGCUCCUCGUCUGUAUGUCUUUGUCCGUUUCCUAUUGUGGGCUUUCUGUAUCCAGUCUGUCUUUUCAAACAAUUAUUUAUGGCUGACAAGUGCUUGUG